GUAGGAGUGAGCCUGCUCGCGAUGUCGGUGUGUCAGGCGCGGAGAUGUUGGAUGUGCUGGCCCAAUCGCGAGCAGGCUCACUCCUAC
This 87-nucleotide non-coding RNA is filed under the name Pseudomonas sp. SJZ131. The record is from RNAcentral. Lineage: Bacteria; Pseudomonadati; Pseudomonadota; Gammaproteobacteria; Pseudomonadales; Pseudomonadaceae.